AAGAGUGUAAAAACUCCCAAACCCCUGUGAACAUACCAUCGUUGCUUCGGCGGUCACGCCCCGGGCGCCUCUGCGUGCCCCGGAAUCAGGCGUCCGCCGGGGGACUCUAAACUCUGUUUUUAUUGUACCGUCUGAGUGGAUUAUAAAAUAAAUCA
This 155-nucleotide unclassified non-coding RNA is filed under the name uncultured Hypocreales. RNAcentral describes it as "sequence contains ITS1". Lineage: Eukaryota; Fungi; Ascomycota; Sordariomycetes; Hypocreales. The record is from RNAcentral.